UACGAAGGGGGCUAGCGUUGCUCGGAUUGACUGGGCGUAAAGGGCGCGUAGGCGGUUUGUACAGUCAGACGUGAAAUUCCUGGGCUCAACCUGGGGGCUGCGUUUGAUACGUGCAGACUUGAGUUCGGAAGAGGGUCGUGGAAUUCCCAGUGUAGAGGUGAAAUUCGUAGAUAUUCGGAAGAACACCGGUGGCGAAGGCGGCAUCCUGGACCGGCAUUGACGCUGAGGCGCGAAAGCCAGGGGAGCAAACGGG
This 253-nucleotide ribosomal RNA is filed under the name uncultured bacterium. Its description in RNAcentral is "partial 16S ribosomal RNA". It matches the Rfam family "Bacterial small subunit ribosomal RNA", at positions 524 to 776 of the family's 1533-position model. The record is from RNAcentral.